UCCUGCUGCGGAACGGAACGUCUGGUUGCUGGAGAGUAUUUGACCACUUCCUCUUUUGUAGGUUUACUUCCUGCCAGUUUCCACUUAAGCACUGGACCAAUACCAUUAUCUUCCAUCUGGAGACAUUGUAGACUUGAUGAGUUGUACUUUGACAUCCAUUGUGUCCCUUCAGUUUCUACGGAGGAGCACGAAAUCCGUGAGGUAGAUCUAGAUUCUUGAAGACCACGACGCCUCCGUCGACUUUUACGACCUGCCAUUGUGAUUUAUUUUUAUUUGAUGUUUGCUUAAUAAAAUUUUUGUUUCUCAAA
This is a long non-coding RNA of Saccostrea cuccullata (small rock oyster), 308 nucleotides long. RefSeq lists it as uncharacterized. The record is from RefSeq and is a predicted model, not a curated record. The transcript has 2 exons. NCBI's taxonomy places the organism in Eukaryota, Metazoa, Mollusca, Bivalvia, Ostreida, Ostreidae.